Molecule: long non-coding RNA, 3542 nt
Filed under: Equus asinus (donkey)
Lineage: Eukaryota; Metazoa; Chordata; Mammalia; Perissodactyla; Equidae
Description: lncRNA (ENSEASG00005027758.1)
Rfam family: mir-31 microRNA precursor family (bases 438-517)
Source: RNAcentral
AUUAUUUAAGUACAUCUGAGUGGCAGAAAUUGACCAGUGGAGUUAUUAGAGUAAAAAUAAAACUGUAUUGAGAGUCACUGGGAUGUGCGGUGGACUGUAAACAUGGUGGUAAAAACCUAUAAUUAACUGUCAUCAACUUUAGGCUUUACUGACUUAAAAUUUUUGUCAGAAUUUUUCCCCUGUCGUUUCACAAGCAGUCAGUAAACAUUCUCGGGGUUCAUUUUAGAUCAAAGGCCAUGAAAAAAAUGAACUAGCCACAGCCUUCCUGUGCUUAACUACAUCUUCAAAAUUGGGCGCUCUAAGAAGACUGUGUUGUAAUGUUCAGAAACAAGGCUUGCCUUUGCAAUUAAUGAGUGUGUUUUCCCCCCCUCAGGUGGAAGGGAAGAUUUUGGAAAAGUGAAACACUGAAGAGGCAUGAUGUUGCUCCUGUAACUUGGAACUGGAGAGGAGGCAAGAUGCUGGCAUAGCUGUUGAACUGAGAACCUGCUAUGCCAACAUAUUGCCAUCUCUCUUGUCUGACAGCAGCCAUGGCCACCUGCAUGCCACUCCUCCAUGUAUUGCUACGGAUGUGUGCCCUUCCUUGGAUGUGGGUUUCCAUGACAUGGCCCUGCUCACCUCCCUGACCUCUCUCUUCCCAUGCUCUGAGUCACUCCAUUUUAACCACACUGGCCUUGCUGUCUGUUCCUUCAACACACCCUGGAUAUUCCUGCCUCGUAGCUUGUCUGCCUCUUGCUCAUCAUUUGGGUCUCAGUGAGGACAGCUCCCCAGAGAAGCCUUCCUUGACCACACUAUCUGAAGUAGCUCCCUGUACCCUGCUUUAUUUUUUCAAAACAUUGGUCACCACGUGAAAGACAUCUGUUGACUUGUUUAGUGCCUUUGUGUUCCACAUUAGAAUGUAAGCUCCUUUGGGGUUAGGGACCUUGUUUAUCUUGUUCAACCUCUGUAUCCCCAGAGCCUGACACAUAGUAGGGCCUCAGUACAUAUUUUUGAAACUCCACCCUGACUUUUAUCAUCCAAGAGAGAUGUCAAAUAAUUAUAUUUUCCCCAUUACAAAUGGUUUUGGUUAAACCCUGACUCACAAGUAACAAUAAGGAAAUAAACAGCUGUGCUGGGCCUGCACACAUGGCUCCUUAAAGCAGUCACAAUGUAUACGUCAUUGAGUCCACAGAUUCACGGAAGGCCUAUCAUAGUGGGCAAAGCAUGGGCUUCAAAAUAAAACCUAUGUUCAGAUCUCACCACUGGUGUUCACCUGUCUGCGUGUUCUUGGACAAAAUCAUUUACCCUUUGAGCCAUGAUUUUUCUCAAUUGCAAAAUGAGGAUAGUAAUACUAACCCCCAGGAUUCUUGAGAUUAAAAAAACGAUAUUUUUUAGCCAGAUGAUUCUUACUUCAUAUCUAAAAAGUUAGUGUCUGUAAAAUUCCUGAUGUAUAUGUAGGAGGAGACACUCAACACAUUUUAAUUAUUUUACUACUAAGGAAAAAAAGUUAAUUUUUCUUUAGUUUUAGAAACAGGUAAUCUGACAUGGAAUGUGUGGAAGUAUACACCACGUGCGGAAUUCCGUGUGAGGACAGAGAUCUUGAGAGGCCAAGGAGUUAACUGUUGAGCAUCUCAAAUUCUCCUGUCUGAGUUCCACUGACCCUCAUCUCCAUCCGUUGACAGAGAUAUCCACUGCACCUUAAACCUCAAUACGGUUGAUGAGCUGGACCCAUAAUGGACAUGAACACUGAGCUCACUUGGAUCAGUCCUCCACAUCUUAAUGUGUUUCACUGUAAUUUGCUAAAAACCUGAACCUUCUUUUUUGAUUCCAAGUGAUCAAGGGCGGAAAAGCAAAAGUUGGGACUUAGGAACAUCAAAAUGAGAGACUAAGGAAUUAAUAUUCUAAAGUAUCCAAUAUUUUCUCUAAGUCAGUUGUUUUCAGACUUUAGUGUUGCGUUAUCAGUCACCUGGAGAACUUGUUAAAAAAUGCAGAUCCCAAACCAUCCCCUAGACAUUCUGAUUUAAUCGGUCUUGACUAAGACUCAAGAAUCUUCACUUUUAACAAGCACCUUAUUUUGAUGCUGUUUGACAGUAAACUACACUUUCAGAAUAUUCAUCUUAGGUCCUAAGUCAGAGGGCAGGUUUUUAAAAAUCUUACACAAUUCCCAAUAUGGAACUUGGGCAUGGUCUUGAAAGCAGCCUGCUUUCCCACUGCAUCUGUGCUUAUGGAAAACUGGAACAGUGUUUUGUAAUUGUGCUUUAUACUCUGAGGUUUCUUAUAUAAACAGCCCAUAUAACUACACACAGGAGCACUAUGGGCUGCCAAUGUGCUUCUGCAGAGUUGUUUUUAACUUCAAUCAUCUUUUCUCCACUGGUUCACAUUACAAGUUCCAAGAUGUUUUAUUUUCCUUUCUGAUUGAUUUGAUAUUGACCCAAAUCCUUUACUUCUAAAUAUACAUUCUUCUCUAAGAUGCCUGACAAAUUGUAAAUGAUAUAUGAGCUCCUUGAGGCUAGAGACUGGGUCUAAUUAUGCAGAAGGGGAAUUUUCAACAUUUAUGAGACUCCUACGGUGGUAAAUCUUUCUGUAAACUAAAAGAUCACAUCUUAAUUGAUCUAUUUCUUAAGUUUAGAUUUUUGUGGAUUUUUCUUUAAUUGGGACAUCUUUUCCUUUGUGAGUUAGUAUGGUGUAGUAGGAAGAGUUCCAGAAUGAAAUGCAAAAAGAUCUAGGCUAGUGCCAGUCCUGUCAUUUUCUGACUCUGUGCACGACUUUGGAAAGAUCAUUUAAUCUGUUACCUUGUUUGUAAAUUGGGGAUAAUAGUAGGAGAGACUAUGAUAUUUUAGAAAGAAAAGUGGGCAAAGCAAAAUACAGCCAUGAAAACCCAGCAUGUAGGCCAACUGGAAGGUAAUCUACAAAAUGAAAAUCAUUGCUGAUUUUUAGUAGUAAUUUAAAAUUUAUUUCAAUGUUUUAUUGCUUUGUGUUGUUAUCGUCUAAUAUAAAUAUGAGAAAGAAAUAAUAAGUUCUGGAUAAAAGGCAGAACUUUGUUCUCAACCAGCCUGAACCACUUAUUUGUUAACCAAUUGCAGUCAAAAGAGAAGAAAUGUGAUAUUUUAGUUAAUUUUAUCUUGAGGAAAGGUGCAGCUUCUGUUCUGCUGUUUAAAAGGCUAGUAAUGGCUUAUAGGUCUUCAAAUGUUAAUAACGAUUCUGUGACUCAUUUACCUGCUUUCCAUCUUAUUGGCUUAUUAUGAGAUUCAAAUUAGAUAAGGUAUAUGAAACUGCUUCGAAAAUGGUAAGAAGUUAUACAAAGUCCUAAGAUAAUGUUUAUAAAGUCCUUCCAAACCUCCGUCUCUCCCUUACCCCUACAAAAGUUUGCUUUUGGAGUGAUUGAAAUUUUAAUAAAAUUGAACUAUUUUAUCCUAAACCUGGCUGUAAAGUUUUAAUUCCUAGGGUUCUAAUUAUUUACCAUUCUUUUUGUAGCAACUAGACGGACAGGAGAUUGUCUGUUGGGCCCGUCUUCUUUCAGCUGUUCUCAUCUAGGAAUGCAGGUGCAAAAAAAGUGGAAAGUCUGG